CUCUUUCAACCCUACAAUAGCUUGUGUACUUUUGGUCAGACCAUUGUUGAGCUAUGAAUAGCAUCAUAAAUAUCUUAGGAAGAGAUGUGAUUUACAUUAGCCAGAGAGAAAGAGUUACUGCAAGAUUUAAUAUUUCUACUAUUAGCAAAUCUUUUUGAAAGAGGCGUUUUUUUUUUUUUGUGUGUGUGUGGUGUUUUUUUUUUGUUUUUUUUUUUUGAGAUUUGGCAGGAGGUCUUGCAGAAUGAAAAGGAGAUCAUAAAUUGGAUGCUCUUUACAUCAAAGUGCUUUUGCUUUGACAUCAUAAUCAAGUAUUUUCUACAGUAUAUGCCACAGUUGGCAGGUUAAGUAGGAAAGAACAUUUUGCACACCAGAUGUCCAACUUUUCUGAUGGAAGUGUAAUAUAUGGUUUUGGAAAAAGAGGUGCUCCUGAUUUGUCUUCUGUCACAUGCACUUUGUUGAAAAUAUUCUACUCACCAUCUUCAGUGAUGUAUUUAUUAUGAACUCUGGAGAAAAGAGAAGUCUACUACUCAAUCUCUGUAUUUAUUUAUUUUUACUAUUAAGUUCUUUCUAAUGUACUGACAAACUUUUCUUACAAAUUCAGCCCUCUUUUAGAUCUCCUAAAACUCUAAUCUCCUCUGCAUUGUUCUCCAUAUGAUUAUGCUUAUCCCCUUUCAACAUUCUGGCCAGGUUUUCUAGUGCAUCCAACAGAAAACUUCAUUUUCA
This 723-nucleotide long non-coding RNA is filed under the name Anas platyrhynchos platyrhynchos (common mallard). Its description in RNAcentral is "lncRNA (ENSAPLG00000028253.1)". The record is from RNAcentral. Lineage: Eukaryota; Metazoa; Chordata; Aves; Anseriformes; Anatidae.